CUUGAGGGCUGGCACUGCAGGCCAAAGAAAAAUCAGCAAGUGUGAACCGGGUGGCGGUAGAGGUAGGUAUCCCACAAAAGAUACCUACACCCUCGGGGGCUGGGGAGUCCCAGGCCCAGCGGAAACGCGAUUCCCCAAGGGCAAGAGGACCUGUGCAUAAACCCAUAAGGGCGACCAAUGCCCCGAGCCGGGCACUGUAGGACCGUCCCGUCCCCGACCUAACGUGGGUCUCUGGGGUUGCGGCAGAAGAAUCCUCCCUGCUUGUGAGUACUUCCGAGGGCUGGAAGUGCGGGACAUCCAGCUCGCUGCCCUCGCCACGCUUGCAGCUGCUGCGGGGUGGGUGGCGCAUCAGCCCCACCCGAAUCCCCGCCGGCAGGGCCGCCAGGGCCCAGGGGAUUCGGCACAGCCUGGACAGCCUUUUUUGUUCUGUUCAGGACGAAUCGAUUCCGACAAAAAGUUAGAUGAUUGAGAGGAUGGAUGUCUUCGCAUCAGUAAAGUAUGCAUUUUGCUGGGACCCGGAAAAAUGAAGGAAACAGUGGAACUAGAGAAGCAAAUACUAGAGAAGCAUCGGCUUUACGCAGUGGAUUUGCGCGUCGCGACUUGGAGCCCGUGCGCCCACAAGAUGGAGAAACGCUGCCCAGAAACUCAACCGUGUUACGGCUGUCUACGCGUUUGCGAUCUGUAGGCAGUGCCACAGGGCGCAACAUUCUGUAAAAAGCAGGGAAACGUCAGUGAAGCACAUUUCCUAGGUUUCUUUCGCCUUGGGUUAGGAACUGGAGUUUGGGGCAGCGUUCUUACCCAUCUCCGGAUCUGUGGAACCCGGAGAAACUCCAGUCCCGGCGGGUUGCUUUGGCUGAAAAUCGGGGUGGGGAACAGGCUCAUUGAAAGAAUAUAGCCUUGGUAGCUAUUAGAAGGGAACCUGCAGGCCUCCUGAGCAGCGGGGCCUUCGAUAGCUCAGUUGGUAGAGCGGAGGACUGUAGUGGAAAUCCUGUGGCAAUCCUUAGGUCGCUGGUUCGAUUCCGGCUCGAAGGACUUCGUGUCGUUUUUUUUUUUAACCCCAAUUUAGUUCGAUUGCAUAUGGCUUCCAAGGUCGGCAAUGACUUCGGUUUGGUACUUUGACUUCGGUUUGGUACUUCGGAUAUCGGGUAAGACCGGCAGUGUUGGUGUACAGUACAGCUCGGUUAAGCGUCACAUACUAAUUAAUAUCGACGUGUGCCUCAAAGUAGAACUUUAUUCUUUAUGUGUAAUUAUUAUAUGCCU
This 1260-nucleotide transfer RNA is filed under the name Marmota monax (woodchuck). The stretch from base 944 to 1032 matches the Rfam family "tRNA". The record is from RNAcentral. Lineage: Eukaryota; Metazoa; Chordata; Mammalia; Rodentia; Sciuridae.